AAAUCCAACAUGGCGGUGCCGGGAAAGUUUGAUGGUCAUUGUGAAGAAGAGAGUGGGUUAAUGAUCCGAACCACAACAGAACCGACUAACUCUGUUUCAGUAACACUGAGCGGUGCUGGAGGAUUGGACCUGUCUGAGGACUGAAGUCAGAGGACUCUGUUAACCAGCUGAACUCUGAAGUUAAGGUUAGUUAAAGUUAAUGUUAGUUAAUGUUCGUAAAGGUUAGCGGCUAAAGUUAGCUGCAGGUAAAGGUGAGUUCAGAGGAGACCGACCCGGACAGGUGAGCUGGAACUGCUUUAAACACCGUUUUGGACUUUAACUGAGUUUUAUUGGACCGACAGUUAAACGGUAAAAGGCGCGGCGGACGGUCCUCGUGGUAGGAUUGUGCGCGUGCGUGGGCUGACGCGGCUGUACAGAGCUGUAAAAACUAGAUGCUGUCUCAGAGUUUGGUCCUUUUGUCUUAGUGAACAGAGUUUGGUGUUCACCAGAGAUCCUCCUGAUGGAUGAAAUUAUAAUGUUCUCUCUUUUCUCUCUCUCUCUGUCUCUGUCUCUGUCUCUGUCUCUCUCUUUUCUCUGUCUCUCUGUCUCUCUCUCUCUGUCUCCCUCUCUCUCUCUCUCUCUCUCUGUCUCUGUCUCUCUCUCUCUCUCUCUCUCUCUCUGUCUCUCUCUUUUCUCUGUCUCUCUGUCUCUCUCUCUCUGUCUCCCUCUCUCUCUCUCUCUCUCUCUGUCUCUGUCUCUCUCUCUCUCUCUCUCUCUCUGUCUCUCUCUCUCUCUCUCUCUCUCUCUCUCUCUCUCUCUCUCUCUCUCUCUCUCUCUCUCUCUCUCUCUCUCUCUCUCUCUCUCUCUCUCUCUCUCUGUCUCUGUCUCUCUCUCUCUCUCUCUCUCUCUGUCUCUGUCUCUCUCUCUCUCUCUCUCUUUUCUCUCUCUCGCUCUCUCCCCCUCUCUCUCUCUCUCUCUCGCUCUCUCUCGCUCUCUCUCCCUCUCCUUCUCUCUUUUCUCUCUUUCUCUCUCUCUCUCUCUCUCUCUCUCCUCUCUCUCUCUCUCUCUCUCUCUCUCUCUCUCUCUCUCUCUCUCUCUCUCUCUCUCUCUCCUCCUGUUCUUUAGCUGCUCAUGUGACCUCCUCUAAAGAUCACCUGGAUGUUGGAUCUCCAGGUCAGGUGAUCAUCAGCUGACCCCCUGGAUCUGGACACCCCCCCCCUGCUGUCCUGGGACUGAGGAGCUCAGGUAAGACCCCCCCCCCAUGAGAGCAGACCAUCUGCUCGUCCUCACAGGUGUUCAACAUUUUACCUGACAGCCAGGAAGUGAUGAAAUGAAAGGCCGACUGAAGCCCCGCCCACAGCAGUCUGUUCGCAGGGGCGGGGCCGUGACAAAACCGGACUGAAGCGUAUUCUGAUCCCGGCGAUUCAGUUUGUUCUCUCGGCUCCUCAGGUGAGUCUGUACCUGCUGUUCACGCCGCUCUCUCAUUGGCUCUGACAGGAUGGACUGCUGUGAUGUCACCGUAGAGGCCAGAUCUGCUCUCUGAUUGGCUCUGACUGAAGCUGUGAUGUCAUGGUGAGUCGGUGACUUUAAUCAUCCAAUCACUUACCAGAGCUGCUGCUGUGGUCAGAGUGGGCGGAGACACCGCCGGCCUGUGGGAGAUGAUGUGAACAAAAGGCCGAAUUGUAGCGCCCCCACCAGGCAGCAUGUUCUCAGAGUGGGGGCGCCAUGACAAAGACGGACCGAAGCGUUCAUCUGAUCCCUGGUCACGUGAUCAAACAGCUGACUGAGGCGUGUUCUGACCCGCAGGUUCAGUAACUGUGGUUCUCUUGUCACUCAGGUAACACUGAUGCUCCAGGCGCCACAAAAGCCCCGCCCACAGGUGAGUUUGACUGUUUUAAUUUAAUGCCUUUUUGUACCAUAUCUGAUACUUUUAUCAAAUCAAUAUGAUCAACAAAUCACUAAAAACCACCUGAGUACUCUGAGAUCAAUGAUCAAAGUGUCCUCCUGUAGUUCAUCAGUUUCCAAAAACAUAAAUAAAAUAUUAAAUUUUAAGGACAUUUAGAUGUUUUUGUUUUUUAGUAUUAAAUGAAAUAAAGAUUUCAGCUCCAGAAUAAACAGAAUUUUCUGGCUGUAAUUUGUGGUUCCAGGUCUUAAAGGGUCACACCUGGUCUGAACAUGGACAGGUGGUGUCUAUUUGAGCAGUCAUGUGACCUGUGGGUGUGGUCUGCAUCAGGUGUAAUGACCACAGUGAACCUGAUGUGUGGUCAUGUGAUCUCAGCAGCCUCUCUUCUGUUUGCAGGUGGACGUUCAGGAGGACACCUGCGGUCAUCAUGGAGGAGCUGGAACAGGUGGUCAUGAUGGUUAAAACGCCGGUUCUGUCCUGAGCUGCGGUCUGGACCGGUCUGUGGGAUUUCUGUGGAAAAGCUUCAAUGUGACAAAAUAAAACUGUUCAAAUAAAAGGAACUCUGAGGUAAAACUAAA
Molecule: long non-coding RNA, 2460 nt
Filed under: Xyrichtys novacula (pearly razorfish)
Lineage: Eukaryota; Metazoa; Chordata; Actinopteri; Labriformes; Labridae
Source: RNAcentral